This 966-nucleotide unclassified non-coding RNA is filed under the name Hevea brasiliensis (rubber tree). The record is from RNAcentral. Lineage: Eukaryota; Viridiplantae; Streptophyta; Magnoliopsida; Malpighiales; Euphorbiaceae.
AAAUCAUAUAAAUAAAUAAAUAAAUACGAAGAAGAAGAAGAAGAAUACAAAAUAAUCAAAACAAAGCACACACGCAUGCAUUUUCCUUAUAUGGGUCAUGUUUGGUUGAAAAUAAAAUAAUGUGAAUGUAAUGUGGUCUCCAUUUCCACUAAAAACCAGAGUUCAAUACAGCAAAUUAAGUUGCAACCUCCACUACCACACUCCAUUUGUGACGACAAGAUUCAACAAUCUUCAGUUGGAACCGCGCCAACUUCACGUGAUCCUUUUUUUCCUCUCCCGGCAACCCCACGGGAGCAGCUACUUCCUAUUGCUGUCGCCUUCAUUCCAACAAGAGGAUUUGUUUGUCCACCAUGCAUUUGCUUCACACACAGAUUCAACUUAUGCAACUAUUCUUUGUCUUAAUUAAAUACUACAUGAUGCAUGCUACAUAUAAAAACAUAGUCCCACUUUGAUUGGGUAAAAUAAAAAAGUAUUAAGGGAAAAUAUAAUUUAAUAUUAUAUACUUUAAUACAUUUUUAACUUUAGAAUUAAAAAAAUUGUGACAAAUUGAAUAUUGAAUUAUCGCGCUUGUUAACAAAUCGAAGAAAAAGAAUUAAUACCAUUAAGUGUACUUAGGUAAAGUUAAUGUAUUAUGCUGACAUUAAUAUUAUGUUUGAUGUGACAUGCAUGCUGAUAUUAAUGCUGCAUCAUUAGAGCACGUUAACAUCAACAUGUAUGUCAUAUCAGACAUGGUGUUGAUAUCAGCAUGCCACAUCAAUGCUAUGUAAUCAUAGUUAAUGGUAUUAGCCAUUGAAUCUUUAAAGUGUUAAUAGUGCGAUAGUUAAAUUUUUAAUUUGGUACGAAAUUAUAGUUCAAUUUUUAAUUUGUCAUGAAAUUUUUUUUAAUCAUUAAAUUAAAAAAAUACAAAAAUAUAUAAUAUUAAAUUAUACUUUUUCCAAAAUAUUAAACAUAAGGACUUAGCAAAAU